RNAcentral lists this ribosomal RNA (401 nucleotides) under Escherichia coli. Its description in RNAcentral is "partial 23S ribosomal RNA". It matches the Rfam family "Bacterial large subunit ribosomal RNA", at positions 1343 to 1746 of the family's 2925-position model. The record is from RNAcentral. Lineage: Bacteria; Pseudomonadati; Pseudomonadota; Gammaproteobacteria; Enterobacterales; Enterobacteriaceae.
GACCAAGGGUUCCUGUCCAACGUUAAUCGGGGCAGGGUGAGUCGACCCCUAAGGCGAGGCCGAAAGGCGUAGUCGAUGGGAAACAGGUUAAUAUUCCUGUACUUGGUGUUACUGCGAAGGGGGGACGGAGAAGGCUAUGUUGGCCGGGCGACGGUUGUCCCGGUUUAAGCGUGUAGGCUGGUUUUCCAGGCAAAUCCGGAAAAUCAAGGCUGAGGCGUGAUGACGAGGCACUACGGUGCUGAAGCAACAAAUGCCCUGCUUCCAGGAAAAGCCUCUAAGCAUCAGGUAACAUCAAAUCGUACCCCAAACCGACACAGGUGGUCAGGUAGAGAAUACCAAGGCGCUUGAGAGAACUCGGGUGAAGGAACUAGGCAAAAUGGUGCCGUAACUUCGGGAGAAGG